This 1298-nucleotide ribosomal RNA is filed under the name Apilactobacillus kunkeei. RNAcentral's name for it is "bacterial SSU rRNA". It matches the Rfam family "Bacterial small subunit ribosomal RNA", at positions 53 to 1324 of the family's 1533-position model. The record is from RNAcentral. Lineage: Bacteria; Bacillati; Bacillota; Bacilli; Lactobacillales; Lactobacillaceae.
ACGAGCUCUCCAAAUUGAUUUUAUGCUUGCAUAAAUGAUUUUUGGAUUCGGAGCGAGUGGCGAACUGGUGAGUAACACGUGGGUAACCUGCCCCGAAGCGGGGGAUAACAUUUGGAAACAAGUGCUAAUACCGCAUAAUUAGUUGGAACCGCAUGGUUCCAACUUGAAAGAUGGCUCUGCUAUCACUUUGGGAUGGACCCGCGCCGUAUUAGUUAGUUGGUGAGAUAAAAGCCCACCAAGACGAUGAUACGUAGCCGACCUGAGAGGGUAAUCGGCCACAUUGGGACUGAGACACGGCCCAGACUCCUACGGGAGGCAGCAGUAGGGAAUCUUCCACAAUGGACGAAAGUCUGAUGGAGCAACGCCGCGUGAGUGAUGAAGGUUUUCGGAUCGUAAAACUCUGUUGUUAAAGAAGAACAAGUGUUAGAGUAACUGUUAACACUUUGACGGUAUUUAACCAGAAAGCCACGGCUAACUACGUGCCAGCAGCCGCGGUAAUACGUAGGUGGCAAGCGUUGUCCGGAUUUAUUGGGCGUAAAGCGAGCGCAGGCGGUUUUGUAAGUCUGCUGUGAAAGCCCUCAGCUCAACUGAGGAAGUGCAGUGGAAACUACAAAACUUGAGUACAGAAGAGGAAAGUGGAACUCCAUGUGUAGCGGUGAAAUGCGUAGAUAUAUGGAAGAACACCAGUGGCGAAGGCGGCUUUCUGGUCUGUUACUGACGCUGAGGCUCGAAAGCAUGGGUAGCGAACAGGAUUAGAUACCCUGGUAGUCCAUGCCGUAAACGAUGAAUACUAGGUGUUGGAGGGUUUCCGCCCUUCAGUGCCGCAGCUAACGCAUUAAGUAUUCCGCCUGGGGAGUACGACCGCAAGGUUGAAACUCAAAGGAAUUGACGGGGGCCCGCACAAGUGGUGGAGCAUGUGGUUUAAUUCGAUGCUACGCGAAGAACCUUACCAGCUCUUGACAUCUUCUGCCAACCCAAGAGAUUGGGCGUUCCCUUCGGGGACAGAAUGACAGGUGGUGCAUGGUUGUCGUCAGCUCGUGUCGUGAGAUGUUGGGUUAAGUCCCGCAACGAGCGCAACCCUUAUUAUUAGUUGCCAGCAUUUAGUUGGGCACUCUAGUGAGACUGCCGGUGAUAAACCGGAGGAAGGUGGGGACGACGUCAAAUCAUCAUGCCCCUUAUGAGCUGGGCUACACACGUGCUACAAUGGAUGGUACAACGAGUCGCGAAACCGCGAGGUCAAGCUAAUCUCUUAAAGCCAUUCUCAGUUCGGAUUGCAGGCUGCAACUCGCCUGCAUGAA